Molecule: long non-coding RNA, 732 nt
Organism: Drosophila sulfurigaster albostrigata
Lineage: Eukaryota; Metazoa; Arthropoda; Insecta; Diptera; Drosophilidae
Exons: 2
Source: RefSeq, a predicted model, not a curated record
CAGCUUCAAGGGGUCUCUGGUGUAGUAGUGAUUGUGUGUGGUGUGGUGAGUUUGAUUUGGUGGUGAGUUCAAGUAUUACAGCUAGUUAAGCGGUGGUCACAGUUCAGUUUUGUUCAUUUCUUUUUUUGUUUUUUUUCUUAUUAUUUUGUUGCUGUUCUUGUGCAGUGGGUGGGGAGAGGCUAAAGAUAGUUACGAGAGAGAACCAAUAUCGCAGACCGGACGACGUAUAUGCCGAGGCCAUACUCUAUGUGCUGCCCAAGUGCAGCGAUGGCGGCACCGACGAUGCAUCCUUGUCGCCAUUCUCGGCAGAUGACAGCUGCUGUUGUUGUUGCUGCUGCUGCUGUUGUUGUUGUUGAAGCUGCUGUUGCGAGUGCGAGUGAGAUGACUGUUGUGGCUGCGACUGCUGCUGAGGUGCAUUUUGCAGCGAGAGGCUGAGAACUGCCGGCGAUAUAUGCGGCUCCGUCAGACGUCGCUUACUCUUCGUUUUCUUCAGCAUGGUGGCCUGAAUGUAGCAUAAAACACACAUUGUCAAAGGCGACUCAACGUCAAACACGCACACACACACUAGCUCUUUCACACGCACACCCUCAUUCACCCACAAACAAUUCCCUUGCAUUUAUUUUUGGCAGUGUUACCAACUUCACAUCACAAAAAGGAACAAGAAAUUUGAGCUUUCUUCGAUAUACCGAAGCGCAAUAUACAGACUUGCAGAUUGAUCAUAAAUAUUACUAA